Molecule: long non-coding RNA, 371 nt
Organism: Brassica oleracea var. oleracea
Lineage: Eukaryota; Viridiplantae; Streptophyta; Magnoliopsida; Brassicales; Brassicaceae
Exons: 2
Source: RefSeq, a predicted model, not a curated record
UUUACUUCUGUUUACAUCUAGUCUUUACGGUUUCUAUAGAACAUAUCUUCAACUAACUAAUGGCUAACAAGCUCUUGUAUUUUGUAUUGAUGGCGGUGUUUCUACUGUUUAGUGUGUCCAAAAUCUGGUGGGAAACUCCUAAUAAACGGCGAGUUUACUCGACAAUGGAAUUGGUCGACAAACUUUUUAAAUCGGGAAAAGCGUUACUUCAUAUCGGAUUCGAUGAAGAUCAAGAGUACUUUAAAUCUUAUUUUCUGCUAUAGACUAUUACAUCAGGUUAGCAUGUGUUAUAUAUGGUUUUCUCAAUGGCUACUGUUGUGUUUUUUGUUUAUAAUAAAAGUAAAACAGUUAUGUAAUCAAAGUCAAAACUA